This 450-nucleotide ribosomal RNA is filed under the name uncultured bacterium. RNAcentral's name for it is "partial 16S ribosomal RNA". It matches the Rfam family "Bacterial small subunit ribosomal RNA", at positions 354 to 796 of the family's 1533-position model. The record is from RNAcentral.
GUGGGGAAUAUUGGACAAUGGGCGAAAGCCUGAUCCAGCCAUGCCGCGUGCAGGAUGAAGGCCUUCGGGUUGUAAACUGCUUUUGUACGGAACGAAAAGACUCCUUCUAAUAAAGGGGAUCCAUGACGGUACCGUAAGAAUAAGCACCGGCUAACUACGUGCCAGCAGCCGCGGUAAUACGUAGGGUGCAAGCGUUAAUCGGAAUUACUGGGCGUAAAGCGUGCGCAGGCGGUUAUAUAAGACAGAUGUGAAAUCCCCGGGCUCAACCUGGGAACUGCAUUUGUGACUGUAUAGCUAGAGUACGGUAGAGGGGGAUGGAAUUCCGCGUGUAGCAGUGAAAUGCGUAGAUAUGCGGAGGAACACCGAUGGCGAAGGCAAUCCCCUGGACCUGUACUGACGCUCAUGCACGAAAGCGUGGGGAGCAAACAGGAUUAGAUACCCGGGUAGUCC